UAGGGAAUCUUCGGCAAUGGACGAAAGGCUGACCGAGCAACGCCGCGUGAGUGAAGAAGGUUUUCGGAUCGUAAAACUCUGUUGUUAGAGAAGAACAAGGACGUUAGUAACUGAACGUCCCCUGACGGUAUCUAACCAGAAAGCCACGGCUAACUACGUGCCAGCAGCCGCGGUAAUACGUAGGUGGCAAGCGUUGUCCGGAUUUAUUGGGCGUAAAGCGAGCGCAGGCGGUUUCUUAAGUCUGAUGUGAAAGCCCCCGGCUCAACCGGGGAGGGUCAUUGGAAACUGGGAGACUUGAGUGCAGAAGAGGAGAGUGGAAUUCCAUGUGUAGCGGUGAAAUGCGUAGAUAUAUGGAGGAACACCAGUGGCGAAGGCGGCUCUCUGGUCUGUAACUGACGCUGAGGCUCGAAAGCGUGGGGAGCAAACAGG
RNAcentral lists this ribosomal RNA (429 nucleotides) under Chloroflexota bacterium. Its description in RNAcentral is "Chloroflexi bacterium partial 16S ribosomal RNA". It matches the Rfam family "Bacterial small subunit ribosomal RNA", at positions 355 to 776 of the family's 1533-position model. Lineage: Bacteria; Bacillati; Chloroflexota. The record is from RNAcentral. RNAcentral also lists the same sequence under 1 other name.